This is a long non-coding RNA of Bos taurus (domestic cattle), 1258 nucleotides long. NCBI's taxonomy places the organism in Eukaryota, Metazoa, Chordata, Mammalia, Artiodactyla, Bovidae. The record is from Ensembl.
UCCUGAGCAGAGAGGACACUGGGGGCCUUGUAACAGAACCCAGCAAUACGUCAGCUUCCAGGGGUAAAGAAGAGGGAAGACAGGAGGUGUGGUUCUGGAGGACUUCCUGGAGGAGGUUCUCUAAGCUACAUCCAGCUGGUGGCUUCUAAAGAGAACUGGACACCAUGGCAUCUGCCAGCCCAGACGCCUAUCACCAGCAGAAUAAGCCAGACCCAAGAAAAUGCUUGUGAACAGGGAUCUCUGUUCCCAUCACCACUGCUAGAAGGGCCAAAGCACGUUCCUCCAUGUGAUUUAUCUGCGCAUUCAAAAGCCUAGGGAGAGCCUCCCUGUCUGCCAGCAUUUUGGGAGAAUGCCCAGGACCUGUGCAAGGAAAUCAGAUUCUCUGGCAGCUGCUUUCAAAGGCCACAGAUACUCUAAAAAAGACAGAGUUGGAACUGAAACUCUGACUUGGGAGAGUCACCUUGCUGGGGACUCACAAAGAGCGAGGAAGAGCAGGGGUGUUGUGGCCCCGAGUCAGCCCUUCUCAAUUUGUCCAUACCAGCCAGCAGGCAUUUGCGCUGAGCUGGACAGCAGCCCAGCCCAGCAAGGCCGACAUCUCAGUUCACAUCAGAGGUGCUCUCCCUGCCUAAGCUGGAAUAACAACUUUGAGGAGAUAAAACACUUUUUACCAUCCAUGGACUCUUGCUACCAAAGAUCCUUCCAGAGACCUGUGCCCUCCCCUCACCAAAGAAACUUAAUCCCCAUGAAGCUCUGCCUUUCAGGAUGUUUGGACAACUCUGGGUUGACUCUUUUCCCCUGACCACAUGAUCGUCUUCAUGGGUAAGCCAGGAGGAGACACACUUCCCCGAAGUGAGAUGUCCAGCUGAAGCCAGCUGAAGUCCAUAGAGAGAGGCGAGUGUCCACACCAGCACCCCAACUUCAGUUCCUUGUCGAGGGGUGGUGCUCCAAACACAAUGCCAGAGGACGAUGAUUGACCGUAAAAAUGUGAAAAUCUAUGCAGUUCCUAGAGCUGCCCAGAGAGCAGUGGAACCUGGUUUGUGCUUUCUUUCACUUUUAAUGACUUCCUCUGCAGACAAAGCCCCACCAGGACAGAACUUACCAAGUUCAGAAAGUUCCAGGGCAUUCUACCAGGCUACCCUUAUUCUCAAAAGUUGCUGGGCUCUGUGGGCGACCUUUUGGGCCUCCUCCAGCCCCUCCUAAUUCUUCCAGGGGAAGAUAGGGUCACCUGACCCCCCAGUGCUGGUGGCCAGGAUCUGAG